Molecule: long non-coding RNA, 557 nt
Organism: Pogonomyrmex barbatus (red harvester ant)
Lineage: Eukaryota; Metazoa; Arthropoda; Insecta; Hymenoptera; Formicidae
Source: RefSeq, a predicted model, not a curated record
UUUAUAUGUAACGUAAAAAUAAAGAAUAAAAAGAAUGGAUGCGGCGUUCACCUGUGAGGCAAGCAAUUGGAUGGAAAUCGACGAUCUCACGGCAUCUAGUCCAAGUUAAUGCGGCGAUCUUUAGUAAUGCCUUGGCGAGAAGCAUUGGCCAUAAUUCAAAGUUAUUAGACGUACGUGGCAGAAGGGGCCUGUUAUCUUUAUCCACGGGUAUAUUGUCGUCCACCAGAAUGCGACGCCAAUAUCCCAUCCAAUAUAAUCUUACAACAUAUUUUCCUGGAAGAAACACACGUUAAUGGCAUUGCUGUUGAUGCUGGGCAUCUUUCCCAGCCUUGUUCAAGGAAUACACGUGCAUCCAACCGUACCAGAGACUGUAGCGACCGGUCCAGAUGAAAUUUGAGUUCUCUCCGCUAAUUUCCAAACCCUGCCGGCCGUAGUAUUGCAGGUUUUCCAACGUGGAAAUAAACCACCUCAUAAACUACAAAUUGCCAUUAAUAUCAUUCGCAGGAAUGUGCAAACCGUUAUUGCAUUUUACGUUCAAUUAAAUUAAAAAAAAAAAA